RNAcentral lists this ribosomal RNA (418 nucleotides) under uncultured Fibrobacter sp. RNAcentral describes it as "bacterial SSU rRNA". It matches the Rfam family "Bacterial small subunit ribosomal RNA", at positions 355 to 773 of the family's 1533-position model. Lineage: Bacteria; Pseudomonadati; Fibrobacterota; Fibrobacteria; Fibrobacterales; Fibrobacteraceae. The record is from RNAcentral.
UAGGGAAUAUUGCACAAUGGGGGGAACCCUGAUGCAGCAACGCCACGUGUGGGAAGAAGCAUUUCGGUGUGUAAACCACUGUCGUGAGGGAAUAAGGCUAUUUUUCGGAGUAAUUGAAUGUACCUCGAGAGGAAGCACCGGCAAACUUCGUGCCAGCAGCCGCGGUAAUACGAGGGGUGCAAGCGUUGUUCGGAAUCACUGGGCGUAAAGGGAGCGCAGGCGGAAGCUCAAGCGGAUUGUACAAUACCGGGGCCCAACCCCGGACCUGCAGUCCGAGCUGGGUUUCUUGGAUAGUUCAGGGGCAAGCGGAAUUCCUGGUGUAGCGGUGGAAUGCGUAGAGAUCAGGAAGAACACCGAUGGCGAAGGCAGUCUCCUGGGCAAAUACUGACGCUCAUAUGCGAAAGCGUGGGUAGCAAAC